Molecule: ribosomal RNA, 489 nt
Filed under: uncultured Sphingobacteriales bacterium
Lineage: Bacteria; Pseudomonadati; Bacteroidota; Sphingobacteriia; Sphingobacteriales
Description: bacterial SSU rRNA
Rfam family: Bacterial small subunit ribosomal RNA
Source: RNAcentral
GCUCAGAAACUCAAAGGAAUUGACGGGGCCGCACAAGCGGUGGAGCAUGUGGUUUAAUUCGAUGAUACGCGAGGAACCUUACCUGGGCUCGAACGUAAGAUGACUGUAGGUGAAAGCUUACAUCUCUUCGGAGCAUUUUACGAGGUGCUGCAUGGUUGUCGUCAGCUCGUGCCGUGAGGUGUCGGGUUAAGUCCCAUAACGAGCGCAACCCCUACCUUUAGUUGCCAUCAGGUUAAGCUGGGGACUCUAAAGGAACUGCCUACGCAAGUAGUGAGGAAGGCGGGGAUGACGUCAAAUCAGCACGGCCCUUACGUCCAGGGCUACACACGUGCUACAAUGGCCGAUACAGAGGGCAGCUACCUGGUGACAGGAUGCAAAUCUCCAAAGUCGGUCUCAGUUCGGAUCGGAGUCUGCAACCCGACUCCGUGAAGUUGGAUUCGCUAGUAAUCGCGCAUCAGCCAUGGCGCGGUGAAUACGUUCCCGGGCCUU